UUAAAGAGUUCUAUAACUCCCAAACCCAUGUGAACAUACCUAACGUUGCCUCGGCAGGUCGCACCUACCUUGUAGCACCCUACCCUGUAGGGCCUACCCGGGAGGUGCGGGUAAGCCUGCCGGCGGCCCACCAAACUCUGUUUGAUAUUGAAUUCUGAACCUAUAACUAAAUAAGUUAAAACUUUCAACAACGGAUCUCUUGGUUCUGGCAUCGAUGAAGAACGCAGCGAAAUGCGAUAAGUAAUGUGAAUUGCAGAAUUCAGUGAAUCAUCGAAUCUUUGAACGCAUAUUGCGCCCAUUAGUAUUCUAGUGGGCAGGACCGUUCGAGCGUCAUUUCAACCCUUAAGCCUUCGUUGCUUAGUGUUGGGAGCCUACGGCAACGUAGCUCCUCAAAGUUAGUGGCGGAGUUGGUUCACACUCUAGACGUAGUAAUUUUUUAUCUCGCCUAUUAGUUGGACUAAUCCCCUGCCGUAAAACCCCCAAUUUAUCAAGGUUGACCUCGAAUCGGUUCAGACAAACUCGCUAAAUUGAAGCAUCUUAGUCAGCGAAGGAAAAGAAACCAACAGGGAUUGCCCUAGUAACGGCGAGUGAAGCGGCAACAGCUC
This 605-nucleotide ribosomal RNA is filed under the name fungal endophyte. RNAcentral's name for it is "eukaryotic LSU rRNA". The stretch from base 180 to 333 matches the Rfam family "5.8S ribosomal RNA". Lineage: Eukaryota; Fungi. The record is from RNAcentral.